This 465-nucleotide ribosomal RNA is filed under the name uncultured bacterium. RNAcentral's name for it is "partial 16S ribosomal RNA". It matches the Rfam family "Bacterial small subunit ribosomal RNA", at positions 28 to 507 of the family's 1533-position model. The record is from RNAcentral.
GACGAACGCUGGCGGCGUGCUUAACACAUGCAAGUCGAACGGAAAGGCCCUGCUUGCAGGGUACUCGAGUGGCGAACGGGUGAGUAACACGUGGGUGAUCUGCCCUGCACUUCGGGAUAAGCCUGGGAAACUGGGUCUAAUACCGGAUAGGAGCCAUUUUUAGUGUGAUGGUUGGAAAGUUUUUUCGGUGUAGGAUGAGCUCGCGGCCUAUCAGCUUGUUGGUGGGGUAAUGGCCUACCAAGGCGGCGACGGGUAGCCGGCCUGAGAGGGUGGACGGCCACAUUGGGACUGAGAUACGGCGCAGACUCCUACGGGAGGCAGCAGUGGGGAAUAUUGCACAAGGGGCGCAAGCCUGAUGCAGCGACGCCGCGGGGGGGAUGACGGCCUUCGGGUUGUAAACUCCUUUCGCUAGGGACGAAGCUUUUUGUGACGGUACCUAGAUAAGAAGCACCGGCUAACUACGUG